AUGGGUUGCACCUGGCUUCAGCCGUUUUUUCAGCUUCCAGUCUUUCCACAGACUGAUGUCCCUCAGAGUUGUGAUGGCUGGUUCUUAGAAGAUUAGAGAAAACUGUUAAACACACACAAAUGUGUUCGCUUUGUUUCACACAUCUGCUUUUUCAAAGUGGAACUUCUGUGGAGGAGUUUCCUAGAAUCAAAUAAAACAAGAGCACCACAACACAACCGGCAGGUGGAGAAGAUGUGGAGAGAGACAGUCAACAAAAGGAACCAUUACAAAUAUUUCUUGCUCAUUUCCACUGGUGCAGCCUACUUAGAUGUGCAACAGAAGCAGCUGCUCAAACUAUUUUAAGUUUCCUAAUACUUGCUAAAGAUGAAGUUACUUGCUUUAAGGUCAUGUUACUGUCCACUCUGGAACAUGGUGUCAGUCCAACUGCUGAUAA
Molecule: long non-coding RNA, 433 nt
Organism: Catharus ustulatus (Swainson's thrush)
Lineage: Eukaryota; Metazoa; Chordata; Aves; Passeriformes; Turdidae
Exons: 3
Source: RefSeq, a predicted model, not a curated record